AGAUUAAGCCAUGCAUGUUUCCGCAAUCAGGGACGAAUAGCUCAGUAAAACUGCGAUGAUUUAGUCUGGCUGUGUAGAUAACUACGUGAAAAUGUAGCUAAGGGAAGGCAGAAUAAGACGCAGGACUAUCAGUUAGUUGGUAGUGUAAUGGACUACCAAGACAGUGACGGUUGACGGGAAAUUAGGGUUUUGUACCGGAGAGGGAGCCUGAGAGAUUGCUCCCACGUCCAAGGACGGCAGCAGGCGCGAAAAUUGCCCACUCUUUGCAGGAGGCAGUUAUGAGACGUGAAGAUGAGUAUCUUGUAAAGAGGGAUAGGAGAAUUGGAGGGCAAGUUUGGUGCCAGCAGCCGCGGUAAUACCGACUCCAAGAGUGUGUAUGAGAGAUGCUGCAGUUAAAAAGUCCGUAGUCAUAGAAGGGCAAAGAGAGAUGCGAGGUCUCACAGUGCGAUGAUGGAGGAGCCGAUGGGGAACAUAGUAUACCAGGGCGAGAGAUGAAAUGCCAAGACCCCUGGUGGACUGAGCGAGGCGAAGGCGAUGUUCUUGUAGGCAUUCGGUGAUCAAGGACGAAGGCUGGAGUAUCGAAAGUGAUUAGAUACCGC
RNAcentral lists this ribosomal RNA (599 nucleotides) under Vittaforma corneae. Its description in RNAcentral is "SSU rRNA". It matches the Rfam family "Microsporidia small subunit ribosomal RNA", at positions 40 to 671 of the family's 1311-position model. The record is from RNAcentral. Lineage: Eukaryota; Fungi; Microsporidia; Nosematidae.